RNAcentral lists this ribosomal RNA (465 nucleotides) under Vreelandella stevensii. Its description in RNAcentral is "partial 16S ribosomal RNA". It matches the Rfam family "Bacterial small subunit ribosomal RNA", at positions 338 to 795 of the family's 1533-position model. Lineage: Bacteria; Pseudomonadati; Pseudomonadota; Gammaproteobacteria; Oceanospirillales; Halomonadaceae. The record is from RNAcentral.
CCUACGGGGGGCUGCAGUGGGGAAUAUUGGACAAUGGGCGAAAGCCUGAUCCAGCCAUGCCGCAUGUGUGAAGAAGGCCUUCGGGUUGUAAAGCACUUUCAGUGGGGAAGAAAGCCUUGGGGCUAAUACCCUCGAGGAAGGACAUCACCCACAGAAGAAGCACCGGCUAACUCCGUGCCAGCAGCCGCGGUAAUACGGAGGGUGCGAGCGUUAAUCGGAAUUACUGGGCGUAAAGCGCGCGUAGGCGGUCUGAUAAGCCGGUUGUGAAAGCCCCGGGCUCAACCUGGGAACGGCAUCCGGAACUGUCAGGCUAGAGUGCAGGAGAGGAAGGUAGAAUUCCCGGUGUAGCGGUGAAAUGCGUAGAGAUCGGGAGGAAUACCAGUGGCGAAGGCGGCCUUCUGGACUGACACUGACGCUGAGGUGCGAAAGCGUGGGUAGCAAACAGGAUUAGAUACCCGAGUAGUC